Long non-coding RNA from Sinocyclocheilus rhinocerous, 370 nucleotides. RefSeq lists it as uncharacterized. Lineage: Eukaryota; Metazoa; Chordata; Actinopteri; Cypriniformes; Cyprinidae. The transcript is spliced from 4 exons. The record is from RefSeq and is a predicted model, not a curated record.
UUCAACCGAUUCUCAUUUUCGAGAGUCUGUUCAUUCAGUCGGAUUUGCUAACGAAUAAAUCAGACCUGGGGUUUCGUUUUAACGGAGGUGUCGGCUCAACCGACUCACUGAAAAGAUCCAAAUCAAAAGAACGAUUCGCUCACGAAUCGGACAUCCGUGAUCAUCAAUAUGGCGGCCUCCGUGGUGACAUGGGCUGGUUUAGCCGCCAUUGGUCGUGCUUGUGGACAUAUUCGCUCUAGGUUGCUUGGAUCUUCAUCGACGUUAUCUCAGGUGUCUUGUCUUCACACAAGUACAGAGUUAAAUAGCAAACACUGGGAAAGGAAAAGUCUUAUUGUAUAUCCACCACAACAGAAAGAUGAACCACGCAGAC